AAACCCCUUAACGAGGAUCAAUUAGAGGGCAAGUCUGGUGCCAGCAGCCGCGGUAAUUCCAGCUCUAAUAGCAUAUAUUAAAGUUGUUGCAGUUAAAAAGCUCGUAGUCGGAUUUUGGGCGCGUGUGAACUGUCAGCCUCUGGUUGGACGGUGCGCGCGUGCCUUUCUGCUUGGGAGCCCCAUGGUGGUUAAUUCUGUCGUGGUGGGUCACAGGCCGUUUACUUUGAAAAAAUUAGAGUGUUCAAAGCAGGCUGUUGCUUGAAUAGAUUAGCAUGGAAUAAUGGAAUAGGACCUUGGUGCUAUUUCGUUGGUUAUGGGACUGGGGUAAUGAUUAAUAGGGACAGUUGGGGCCGUUCAUAUUUCGUUGUCAGAGGUGAAAUUCUUGGAUUUACGAACGAUGAACUUGUGCGAAAGCAUUCGGCAAGGAUGUUUUCAUUGAUCAAGAACGAAAGUUAGGGGAUCGAAGACGAUCAGAUACCGUCGUAGUCUUAACCAUAAACUAUGCCAACUAGGGAUCAUUGAGUGUCAAUUUACGACCUCAUUGGCACCUUGUGAGAAAUCAAAGUUUUUGGGUUCCGGGGGGAGUAUGGUCGCAAGGCUGAAACUUAAAGGAAUUGACGGAAGGGCACCACCAGGAGUGGAGCCUGCGGCUUAAUUUGACCCAACACGGGGAAACUUACCAGGUCCAGACAUAGUCAGGAUGGACAGAUUGAAAGCUCUUUCUUGAUUCUAUGGGUGGUGGUGCAUGGCCGUUCUUAGUUGGUGGAGUGAUUUGUCUGGUUAAUUCCGUUAACGAACGAGACCUCAGCCUGCUAACUAGCGAUGCCCAUUUUUUAAUGGGUAGCCCGCUUCUUAGAGGGACUAUUCGUGUUCAACGAAUGGAAGUUUGAGGCAAUAACAGGUCUGUGAUGCCCUUAGAUGUCCUGGGCCGCACGCGCGCUACACUGAUGGAUGCAACGAGCUCUACCCUUGACCGAAAGGCCCGGGUAAACUUGUCAAAAUCCAUCGUGAUGGGGAUAGAUUAUUGCAAUUCUUGAUCUUCAACGAGGAAUUCCUAGUAAGCGCGAGUCAUCAGCUCGCGUUGAUUACGUCCCUGCCCUUUGUACUCACCGCCCGUCGCUCCUACCGAUUGAAUGGUCCGGCGAAAUCUUCAGAUUGCUGGCGAGGCUAACCCCUCGCUGUGAGAAGUUGAU
Molecule: ribosomal RNA, 1193 nt
Filed under: metagenome
Description: SSU rRNA
Rfam family: Eukaryotic small subunit ribosomal RNA
Source: RNAcentral